Molecule: long non-coding RNA, 995 nt
Organism: Lepisosteus oculatus (spotted gar)
Lineage: Eukaryota; Metazoa; Chordata; Actinopteri; Semionotiformes; Lepisosteidae
Source: RefSeq, a predicted model, not a curated record
GCGGGAUGGGAGAAAAAAAGAAAAGCUGAUAAAGAGCGUUUCCUAAACUGCAAUUGUUGGAGUGAUAAACUAUUGAUUGAUAAGAUUAUCCCGAGAAAACUAUCCUGAGAUCCUAAGAAAACAAACAAAGGGAUGGUGUUGGGUCCACCUGGCUCCUUUGGAUCAAGGAAAUGAAAGUUAGACCAAAUCUGCUCAGCAUACCACACAUGCUCUCGGAUCAAAGGUCACUUCUGGAAGCCCAGGAUUAGAAAGAGCUCAAUGGCUGAUUGGUGAUUUUCCUGAUAUGUCAUUCCAGUGCUCCAGACUGCAUGUAAGGUCUUAUUUUUAAAAUAGUUUGAAGGCAUUCAUUAUACUGAAAAAAUGUGAGGAUCGGGGAGGUGAGUUACAAUUGACAAGGGAUUAAGGUUUCUCUCUUCCACGCAUGGUAAGCCUGUGAAUUUCUAUCCAAAAUAUCUUGUUUAAACUGUGGAAAUGGAAGGGAGUGAAGUGAUAUUUGAUUUUACGUAACAUCAUGAGCUUUCUUGAUUUCAUGCAACCUGUAGCUCUCACCUUAACGCAGGGGUUGCAGGAUUCAAAACUAUGAGCUUUCUUAUUGAGAAUUUUGUCAUUUGUCCAUGGCAAAAAAUAUUUGACAACUGAGGAACAAACAGUACUCUGGGUUAGAUCUUUUCACCUUAUUCAUCUGCACAGGCAAGAAAUAUAUCCAGAGAAUUUGUGGGUUUUUUUUCUUAUCUUUUUAGUAUUUAAAAAUUUUAGUACAUAAAAACAUUUAUGUUAGAAUGGAUUUCAAAAUGCACUUCUCACUUUAAAGUCCAAAACCUUCAAUGUUCCUUUAAGUGUUUUAGUAAUUGCUUUUUAACUCAAAUGACUUGUCUAAUUUGUCCCACCAGUGAGCAAUUAAUAAAUUACUUAUUAAAGAUACAUUUAAUAAACAAAAACAGAUGAUUAUAGUCCAUCCACAAACAUCAUACAAUGAAUGCUUGUUAAAUGUCACA